Molecule: ribosomal RNA, 396 nt
Filed under: uncultured bacterium
Lineage: Bacteria
Description: partial 16S ribosomal RNA
Rfam family: Bacterial small subunit ribosomal RNA
Source: RNAcentral
AUACGUAGGUGGCAAGCGUUGUCCGGAAUUAUUGGGCGUAAAGCGCAUGUAGGCGGUUUGGUAAGUCGGUCGUGAAAAUGCGGUGCUUAACGCCGUAUGGCGAUCGAAACUGCUGAACUUGAGUGCAGGAGGGGAAAGGGGAACUCCCAGUGUAGCGGUGAAAUGCGUAGAUAUUGGGAGGAACACCAGUGGCGAAGGCGACUUACUGGGCCGUAACUGACGCUGAGGCGCGAAAGCGUGGGGAGCGAACAGGAUUAGAUACCCUGGUAGUCCACGCGGUAAACGAUGAAUGCUAGGUGUUGCGGGUAUCGACCCCUGCAGUGCCGGAGUAAACACAAUAAGCAUUCCGCCUGGGGAGUACGGCCGCAAGGUUGAAACUCAAAUGAAUUGGCGGGG